Molecule: transfer RNA, 71 nt
Filed under: Dipodomys ordii (Ord's kangaroo rat)
Lineage: Eukaryota; Metazoa; Chordata; Mammalia; Rodentia; Heteromyidae
Rfam family: tRNA
About the family: Transfer RNA (tRNA) molecules are approximately 80 nucleotides in length. Their secondary structure includes four short double-helical elements and three loops (D, anti-codon, and T loops). Further hydrogen bonds mediate the characteristic L-shaped molecular structure. tRNAs have two regions of fundamental functional importance: the anti-codon, which is responsible for specific mRNA codon recognition, and the 3' end, to which the tRNAs corresponding amino acid is attached (by aminoacyl-tRNA synthetases). tRNAs cope with the degeneracy of the genetic code in two manners: having more than one tRNA (with a specific anti-codon) for a particular amino acid; and 'wobble' base-pairing, i.e. permitting non-standard base-pairing at the 3rd anti-codon position.
Source: Rfam by way of RNAcentral
GGGAAUGUGGCUUAGUGGUAAGAGUGCCUGCCUAGCAUGCAUGCAGCCCUGGGUUCAAUUUCUCAGCACCA